AGGUAAGCUACUAAGAGCGAAUGGUGGAUGCCUUGACUGGUAAAGGCGAUGAAGGACGUACUAGACUGCGAUAAGCUACGGGGAGCUGUCAAGAAGCUUUGAUCCGUAGAUUUCCGAAUGGGGCAACCCAAUGUAUAGAGAUAUACAUUACCUAUAUAGGAGCGAACGAGGGGAAUUGAAACAUCUUAGUACCCUCAGGAAAAGAAAUCAAUAGAGAUUGCGUCAGUAGCGGCGAGCGAAAGCGCAAGAGGGCAAACCCAGUGCUUGCACUGGGGGUUGUAGGACUGCAAUGUGCAAGAGGUAAGUUUAGCAGAACAUUCUGGAAAGUAUAACCAUAGAGGGUGAUAGUCCCGUAUGCGAAAAACAAACCUUAGCUAGCAGUAUCCUGAGUAGGGCGGGACACGAGGAAUCCUGUCUGAAUCCGGGUCGACCACGAUCCAACCCUAAAUACUAAUACCAGAUCGAUAGUGUACAAGUACCGUGAGGGAAAGGUGAAAAGAACUGAGGUGAUCAGAGUGAAAUAGAACCUGAAACCAUUUGCUUACAAUCAUUCAGAGCCCUAUGUAGCAAUACAGGGUGAUGGACUGCCUUUUGCAUAAUGAGCCUGCGAGUUGUGGUGUCUGGCAAGGUUAAGCAAACGCGAAGCCGUAGCGAAAGCGAGUCUGAAUAGGGCGCUUAGUCAGAUGCUGCAGACCCGAAACGAAGUGAUCUAUCCAUGAGCAAGUUGAAGCUAGUGUAAGAACUAGUGGAGGACUGAACCCAUAGGCGUUGAAAAGCCCCGGGAUGACUUGUGGAUAGGGGUGAAAGGCCAAUCAAACUUCGUGAUAGCUGGUUCUCUCCGAAAUAUAUUUAGGUAUAGCGUUGUGUCGUAAUAUAAGGGGGUAGAGCACUGAAUGGGCUAGGGCAUACACCAAUGUACCAAACCCUAUCAAACUCCGAAUACCUUAUAUGUAAUCACAGCAGUCAGGCGGCGAGUGAUAAAAUCCGUCGUCAAGAGGGAAACAACCCAGACUACCAGCUAAGGUCCCUAAAUCUUACUUAAGUGGAAAACGAUGUGAAGUUACUUAAACAACCAGGAGGUUGGCUUAGAAGCAGCCAUCCUUUAAAGAAAGCGUAAUAGCUCACUGGUCUAGUGAUUUUGCGCGGAAAAUAUAACGGGGCUAAAGUAAGUACCGAAGCUGUAGACUUGCACACAACUUAGAUUAUUUAAGUUUAGAAUAUUAAGAAACUAAGUUAUAUGUUUUAGUUAUAUUUUUACUGAUUUUUAUAGGGUAAAGAUAGAAAUAAAACUUAGUAAAAUCAGUAAAAAUAUUCUUAGGCUAAAGUUAAGUAGUUUAAGUUGUGUGCAAGUGGUAGGAGAGCGUUCUAUUUGCGCCGAAGGUAUACCGGUAAGGAGUGCUGGAGCGAAUAGAAGUGAGCAUGCAGGCAUGAGUAGCGAUAAUUAAUGUGAGAAUCAUUAACGCCGUAAACCCAAGGUUUCCUACGCGAUGCUCGUCAUCGUAGGGUUAGUCGGGUCCUAAGCCGAGUCCGAAAGGGGUAGGCGAUGGCAAAUUGGUUAAUAUUCCAAUACCAACAUUAGUGUGCGAUGGAAGGACGCUUAGGGCUAAGGGGGCUAGCGGAUGGAAGUGCUAGUCUAAGGUCGUAGGAGGUUAUACAGGCAAAUCCGUAUAACAAUACUCCGAGAACUGAAAGGCUUUUUGAAGUCUUCGGAUGGAUAGAAGAACCCCUGAUGCCGUCGAGCCAAGAAAAGUUUCUAAGUUUAGCUAAUGUUGCCCGUACCGUAAACCGACACAGGUGGGUGGGAUGAGUAUUCUAAGGCGCGUGGAAGAACUCUCUUUAAGGAACUCUGCAAAAUAGCACCGUAUCUUCGGUAUAAGGUGUGGUUCGCUUCGUACUAGGAUUUACUCCGAAAGCGAAGAAACUUACAACAAAGAGUCCCUCCCGACUGUUUACCAAAAACACAGCACUCUGCUAACUCGUAAGAGGAUGUAUAGGGUGUGACGCCUGCCCGGUGCUCGAAGGUUAAUUGAUGGGGUUAGCAUUAGCGAAGCUCUUGAUCGAAGCCCGAGUAAACGGCGGCCGUAACUAUAACGGUCCUAAGGUAGCGAAAUUCCUUGUCGGUUAAAUACCGACCUGCAUGAAUGGCGUAACGAGAUGGGAGCUGUCUCAAAGAGGGAUCCAGUGAAAUUGUAGUGGAGGUGAAAAUUCCUCCUACCCGCGGCAAGACGGAAAGACCCCGUGGACCUU
RNAcentral lists this ribosomal RNA (2247 nucleotides) under Campylobacter jejuni. RNAcentral's name for it is "partial 23S ribosomal RNA". It matches the Rfam family "Bacterial large subunit ribosomal RNA", at positions 1 to 2101 of the family's 2925-position model. The record is from RNAcentral. Lineage: Bacteria; Pseudomonadati; Campylobacterota; Epsilonproteobacteria; Campylobacterales; Campylobacteraceae.